GUUAUUUUGAAAUCGAAGUGUGUGAUAUGUUUGACCGGUUGCUUUUAUUUUUUUUAAAGCUUACUCUAACUGCACUAAAUAUUCAUAUAUGUUGAUAUAAAUUCUGACGGUAUGUCUGCCAUCCCAUUUAUUGAAACUUCAAAUAAGCCUCUUCAGGUUGCUACCUUGUUUGAACUUGAAAUGGCAAUGCUACUCCUGUCCAUUGCUACUUAAAUCAAUCUUCGCUGAGGAUUACCUAAGCUACUCGGUAACGAUAGAGCCGAAACACCGUGCAGAAGUUGUACAGUAAUCUGCAGAAGUUGCUUGAAUAUCCACCCAAGGGCUCGGAAAAACUUGCCUUACUGAGCUUGAAGGAGAGGAUCUGGAUGCUGAUCUAGAUUUGCCUUGUUUUCAUCAAGACGUGCAUACAAAAGGUCAAUUCAUUCUUCAAUGGUGAAAUCCACUACUAGCAUCUGUGUGGUAAAAACAUCGAAUAUCUUUAUAUGCUUGGAUGAUUUUGGAUUAAUGACUGUCUUAUUUCCUGCUACCUGUAACAGACAAAAGUAAUCGGAUUUUUAAUCUGGUUGACAUAUGUUUACCUCAAUAUUAAAUCUGUAUCUAAAAUUAAUUUAUCAAUAGUAAUUAGUAAAAUGGUAUGUAGGGGAACUUCAAGAUGGAUAUCGGAAAUUAUUUCAAAUACUUAACGGUUCAUACGAUUCUUCAAAUUUUUGCUUUUUUAAAUUCUUUCGAAUGAAACGGACAAAAAUAUCCGAGAUUUAUUUUCUACACAGGGUAGUUAAUGCUGACAUUAUGACAGCGCUGCAUUUUCAUUUCGUUAAGGUCAAUCUACAUUCUACAUGUCCAUAUCGGAAGAAUAGCAUUCGAGAUAUCUCGAAUACGAAUUUACACUUAUUUCGCUUACUCGGUUAUUAAGUUGCACUGUUUUUAAGGUAGGGUUUAAGGUACCUUUAGAUAGUUAUGCCUGUCGCGUUCAGAUGAAUGUGUAGAAUGAAGCCUCUUCAAAUUUCUUGUCAGUUUAAUCUCUUAAAUGGGCUCGGUAGUAUUCUGCGUCUUCUCAUUAUCAAUAGAGCAUUCUUUCAACCUAACAUUCUAUUAGUGGCCAUAAUGCCAAAUUCAAAUCGGUUUUAACGAAUCCUUAAAUGAAUCUCGUUUGGCACUCGCUCCUUGCAAGAAAUUAAGAUUUGCAUUUCGUUUACUCACUCUGUUGAUAGGCUUUAUGUUUAAGUUAAUAAACGUUCCGAGACUGACGAUAUUCGAACCUCUUCGUAUCGGGUCAUUCAAAUUCAAUAGCAUCUGAAUUUUUCCCCAUUUUUGAGUUUCUAAAGAAACUAAAUUUCUCCGGCUGAAAGACUUCAAUUUGAUUAAAAAAACAAAUUUUAAUCAACUUAAAGUUUUUACAAUAUUAACUGGGUAAUGAGUAAUCGUCACUCUUAAUGUUUAAUUCUAAUGUUUAAUAUUUUGAUAGUCCUUUGUUGAUUAGAAUAGAUAAAUCCUGUCCCCACUCCAUUCA
Molecule: long non-coding RNA, 1510 nt
Organism: Argiope bruennichi
Lineage: Eukaryota; Metazoa; Arthropoda; Arachnida; Araneae; Araneidae
Exons: 3
Source: RefSeq, a predicted model, not a curated record